AACGAACGCUGGCGGCAUGCCUAACACAUGCAAGUCGAACGAGACCUUCGGGUCUAGUGGCGCACGGGUGCGUAACACGUGGGAAUUUGCCUCGGGGUAUGGAAUAACUCAGGGAAACUUGAGCUAAUACCAUAUAAUGUCUUCGGACCAAAGAUUUAUCGCCCUGAGAUAAGCCCGCGUAGGAUUAGCUAGUUGGUGAGGUAAAGGCUCACCAAGGCGACGAUCCUUAGCUGGUCUGAGAGGAUGAUCAGCCACACUGGGACUGAGACACGGCCCAGACUCCUACGGGAGGCAGCAGUGGGGGAAUAUUGGACAAUGGGCGAAAGCCUGAUCCAGCAAUGCCGCGUGAGUGAUGAAGGCCUCGGUUGUAAGGACUCUUUACUUGGGUAGUGAGUAAUAGACAGUACUCAGAGAAUAAGACU
This 422-nucleotide ribosomal RNA is filed under the name uncultured bacterium. RNAcentral's name for it is "bacterial SSU rRNA". It matches the Rfam family "Bacterial small subunit ribosomal RNA", at positions 29 to 493 of the family's 1533-position model. The record is from RNAcentral.